UACAGGGGUGCAAACGUUGCUCGGAAUCAUUGGGCGUAAAGCGCACGUAGGCGGUUCGUUAUGUCGGAUGUGAAAGCCCUUGGCUUAACCGAGGAAGUGCAUCCGAAACUGGCGAGCUAGAGUACGAAAGAGGAUCGCGGAAUUCCCGGUGUAGAGGUGAAAUUCGUGAGAUAUCGGGAGGAACACCGGUGGCGAAGGCGGCGAUCUGGGUCGAUACUGA
Molecule: ribosomal RNA, 220 nt
Filed under: uncultured bacterium
Lineage: Bacteria
Description: partial 16S ribosomal RNA
Rfam family: Bacterial small subunit ribosomal RNA
Source: RNAcentral